RNAcentral lists this unclassified non-coding RNA (200 nucleotides) under rhizosphere metagenome. RNAcentral's name for it is "partial ribosomal RNA internal transcribed spacer region". The record is from RNAcentral.
GUAGGUGAACCUGCGGAGGGAUCAUUACCAGAGAUGGUGGGCCCCGGGCCCCCGUCCCCAACCCUUUGUUGACCAAACCACUUUUGCCUCGGGGGCAGAGCGGCCUCCGCCGCCCCCGGUGGACCAACCAACCCUGUCUCUGUACGUCGGAGUCUUUGAUGAAUAAAUGAAAACUUUUAACAACGGAUCUCUUGGUUCUG